Molecule: non-coding RNA, 7076 nt
Organism: Amborella trichopoda
Lineage: Eukaryota; Viridiplantae; Streptophyta; Magnoliopsida; Amborellales; Amborellaceae
Source: RefSeq, a predicted model, not a curated record
CCCAUAUUACCUUUAUGUCUAUGUUCUUGUAUUUUAUUUACUCUCACAAAUUAUUUAAAAACCAUGGGCAUAAAUGUAAACAUGAAUCUGGACUUAAUGGGAAAUAAAACAUGGAGCUAAGGGCUUCCAGGUAAAAUGACUAUAAACCUAGGUUUUAAGGAGUGAAGGGUGUCAAAAGCUCCUCCAUUGAUACUGGUGAUAAGAUAUGAAUGAGUGGCUUGGAUAAAAGCCUCUCAUAUGCUAUUGAUCUAAGGCAUCAGGGAUCAAGAUCAAAUCCAUCUUUAUGAUCUAAGAUAAAAGUAACUUAUGGGAUCAAUUAUCCAUAGAGCCUUCCUCGCACAACAUCUUUCACCUAUGGAUGUGACACCCAUUACUUUAAUGCUUGGUUUCACUCUAUUAGAACCACACUCCCAAGAGUGCAAAAAUAUGAGUUCAUAAACACAUGAAUAUAUGAGAGCGGAAAUCAAAAAACCAAGCGGCAAGGCUUUUAAUGGCGAUUUAUUCGGCUACAGAGGUAUAAAGAUGGAGGCAAAUAGGUGGUCCAUUUUAAAACAAUUGAAACUAACGAUCCAAAUGUUUUCUUAAUAGAAUUAUUAUUUCUAAUUUUCUAAUUUUAUUUAUUUUUUCAUAUUCAUGAUCCCAUGUUAAAGAUUACAUAUUCUCUACAACUUAGGAUCUAAUUCUAUUUAAAAAUAAAUUUAUUAAGGCGCUUACAUUUCUACAUGUGCAGGCUUGACUGCAUGCUAACUGCAUCUAUUGUUAUAUAUUUAAAUAUUUUUUGUAUUUUUAUAUUUAUUUUAAUUUUUAUCUACUCCUCUUUUCGCUUUAUGGCUUGGCUCGGCUCGUGAGCUUGGCUAUGAAGAAAGAGGUAAUAAACAGCCUAUUUGAGAGCGAGAAAAUUAGGGGGAAAGAGAUGCCUUAUAACAGUUCAGAUUAUGAAGCAAAGAAUUGGGAUAUGGAAGCCCUAAACUUCUAAAAAUUUGAAGUUUUAUAUUGUUGAGAUAGAAAUGGUUUGCAAAAUGUGUGGAUCUAUGGAGGGUGAGAAUGAAAGUCAGGAUGAGAGAUUAGUGUGGGUAGUUGGCAUAAGGGGGCGAAGAAUUCAGAAAAUGGAAAGAGAAGGGAGCUGACGAGAUUUCGGGAAAUGGGGCAAGAGUCUCGAAAAUUGAAAGAGAACGGAGAUGGAGAGAUUUGGGGAGUGGGGAAGAAGAGAUGAAAGAAAGAGGAGGGCGAUAGAUGAUCAGAAAAGAGAGGGAUACUCGGCUCAUUCAAUUCGGCUCAUUCAUUCAAUUGCUCUCUCUCCCAUUGGAGGGAGGCUUGGGGGUGAAGGAAGUUGGAAUGGGAGGGGUUUAAGCGUGAAGUAGUGGAGGGAGAGAAGCCUUGUCCAAUGACGCGUCUGUGAACUGAACAUUCCACUUGCGAGUGAUGUGGGAGCAACGCUGACUUGCUUCUACGAGAUCGACAACAUUAGGCUGCCUCGUAAUUCCCCCAUUCACCUCAUGACCAUUUGUGUUGUGUGGGUAUGGAAACAAACAAAACCCUAUUCUUAAAUAUUCUCAAUGACCUCUUGAGUUUUACUGUUGCCAGUCAUAGUAAAUAGUUUCUCAGAUAUUUGGAAUUCCAACAAAUUUCUGAAGGUGCUUCUGUUUCCUCUAACCCUACCUCACUUUCACCAAAUCUAGUUAAGCCUACAAGUGUCAGUUAUAAGAUAAGAUAUUCUUACCAUACUUGUAAGAAAUAACCUGAAUUACAACUGAGAAAGAAAGAACAUGCAAUGCACAUAUCGAUUCUCUUAUGUACACAUAGCAAGUUUAGAUGCAUCCUAAUCUCUCAUCGCCAUCUUUUCUUUGUAGAUAAAGUAUUAGAGAUAAAUUUAUGGGAUUUGAGAGUAAGACUGCUCCAUGCAACUGGGUUUGUUGCAUUCCAGCUAAACUCAAACUAAUUCAUGAAACACAGGAAGUGAAUAUAUGAAAUUUUUGCACUAUAUAUGAGGUUCAACAAAGCCUCAACAAGGAUGCACACCCUGAAGAGAUGCCAUGCAUAACAAAAGUCAACUCGUAUUAACAACACCUAUAUUGCAUUUCUCUUGUCUCUUCUGACCCCUCUUUUGGACUGUCUGGAUUUGAUGGUUACAUGAAUUUUACAUCUGUUAAUUCUUCUUUCUAGUUCAUCGCAUGGGUUCUAUCAGAUUUUGGCCUACCUUAGUUCCAGGGUACAACAAGGGUACAUUAAGAACGAAAAAAACAUAAGAAUUAUAUAGACUUGUGAGAUCAAUUUAUGUAUAUGUAAUUUAGAUAUGCUUUACAAUGGUUUGUGAGUUUUUAUUGUCAAAUGUCCUAGUUUUUUUUUUUUUUUUUCUGGAUUUUUUUGGAAUCUCCAACCCUAAACCAUAUUUUGUAAUCCAAUUUGUUAUAUUCUUUUGUACUUAUUUGGAUUCCUUACAUGUUGUUUUUAGUUUUGUUUUGGGUCUAAAUAUUUUAUUUUAUUUAUUAGCAUUUUAAAGAAAUCUUUUUUUUAAGGGGCUUUGGGUCAUGUACAGGCCUAGUCCACUCAGCCUCGCACUUGGCUGAGUUACUCGGGCUGAUUCCAAGGCCCAAGCAAAGUGGAAUAACACUGCUUAGUAUUAACCAUGAAUGUCUGUCACACACACAGACAUGGCCAUGGUGUAAAUAUUCAUACAUGAACCCAUUCAUUUCUUUAACAUUGGGAAAUUUUGGUACCUGAUUUCAGGAGUUUCUUUGAUGAAUUCUUUCAUAGGGGGAUCCUCAACAAAGCUAGCAAUGCGACCUUUAUAGCUCUUGUCCCUAAGAAAGAAGGUGUUGAAGAGCUUAAGGACUAUCGUCCUGUUAGCUUACUCAACUCCUCAUACAAAAUUCUAGUCAAGGUUCUGGCCUCUAUACUCAAGCAGGUCCUUCGACUCAUCAUUUCGCAAUCCCAAUCAGCCUUCAUCCGAGACAGGUUGAUCAUGGAUGGUGUGGUGGUUGCUCAUGAGUCUAUUCACUCUAGGUUUCUCUCUAAGAAACCAGGAUUGAUUUUCAAGAUUGAUUGGGAGAGAGCUUAUGACCACCGACUGGCAUUUACUGGAUGAGAUUAUGGCAAGAAUGAACUUUGGCCCCCCAUGGAGAAAGUGGAUAAGAGGCUGUAUUUCUACCCCCCACUUUUCAGUCCUUAUAAAUGGUAGCCCAAAAGGUUUCUUUGCUGCUUCAAGGGGGCUCCGUCAAGGGGACCCACUCUCUCCCUUUCUCUUUACUAUAGUUGCCGAGGUCUUCCGCAGGUUGAUCUCUCGUCUCUACCAAGAAGGACUUCUCUCGGCUUGUCUCUGUAGCUCACAAGGCCCUAGGGUAUCUCAUUUGCAGUAUGCAGAUGAUACCUUAGUUUCCUUAGAUGCGAUCCACUAGCAAAUUGAGAACCUCGGAAUCUUCCUCAAAUACUUUGAGAAUGCCACUGGCUCCAAAGUAAAUAUGGAAAAAUCUAAGAUGAUGGGAGUGGGUCUCACACCUCAAGAAAUAAAGUCCCUGAUUCCUUCUUGGGACUGCAAAAUAGAGGACCUUCCUACCACCUACUUGGGGAUCCCUUUAGGUUUCGGGAAACCCAAAAAGAGACACUGGGUACAUGUCAUAGAUAGGGUUGAUAGGCGUCUAGCUGGAUGGAAAGAAAGAUUCCUUUCUCUGGCCGGUCAGUCUACGCUGGUUAAGGCAACUUUGGCCAACUCCCCUGUCUACUUAAUGUCCAUUUUCCAUAUGCCAGUGUCGGCGGCUAAGAGAUUGGAUCAAUUGAUGAGAAAUUUUUUGUGGUCAAGGCAAGCUGAAAAAACAAGACACCACCUUAUAUCAUGGGAUAGAGUCCGACUGCCCAAAGCCCAUGGUGGUCUGGGUAUCAGAGAUCUAAGAAAGCAUAAUCAGACCCUUUUAGGGAAGUAGUGGUGGAGAUUGGCCACUCAACCAAAUUCCUUUUGGGCACAGGUUUUUCGAAAGAAAUAUAAAAUUUCGGACCAGUCUUGGGAUCUUGGAAAGCCCUCACGGAGUAGGGCUUCAGGAAUUUGGAAAUCCCUCGCGUCCUCUCUUGCUCAGUUCAAGAAAGUGGUUCGCUUCCAUUCUAAAGACGGGAACAGAGUUCGCUUGUGGUCUGAUCUGUGGAUUGGAAAUGCUCCCCUUAGGGAUCUCUUUCCUGACCAAUAUCAACUUGCUUCCAACAAAGAGUUCGGUAUUGCAGAUGAUAUGGUCUUGGUAGGGGGGCGUAUAUCUUGGAACCCUUCCUUUCGAAGGAACUUAUCCGAAGAGGAAAUUUUACAGUUCUCCACUCUUUCGGCUGCUCUUCACUUGGUGUUCCUAGCUUAUCAGGGAGUGACUCUUUGGUAUGGACACUUUCCUCUUCUGGUAAGUUUUCAGUUGCAUCUUUCUAUAAGCUUCUUACCCAGCCCCCUACCUUCCCGUUGAAUCCCAUCUCUCCCUUCCUCAAGGUGUGGAACACAAUAGCUCCUCCUAAACUUUAGUUUUUCAAUUGGAUCGCUGGCUCUCAUAGUGCCCUAACUCUUGAUCAGAUCCAAAAAAGAGGCCUGCCACUCCCAAACAGAUGUGUAAUGUGUUUGACAGAGGAGUCGUCCAACCCCCACCUCUUCAUGCAUUGCAGUAUGGCUUUUGAGCUUUGGACACUGAUCCUACAAUUGUUUAGUUUCCAUUGGGUCCUCCCACACUCGGUAAAAGACUUAUUUCUUCAUUACUCUGGAGGUCCUUGGAUCAAAGCAGGUAUAACCUUGUGGAGGGCAGCUUUAGCUGCUACAGUAUGGGUUUUAUGGCUUGAAAGAAAUGAUAGGGUCUUUCAAGGGCACACAAAUGAUGUUUCUGGGCUAUUUCAUAAGGUUACAUUCCUUGUAACAUUUGGGCCUCCACCCAUAAGAUCUUUGGUGGGAUUCUUCCGAGUUCUUUCCUCAGGCAUUGUGACAAUAUUAUCUGAAUUCUUUCCUCAGGCAUUGGGACAAUAUUAUCCGAAUUCAGCAUCUCAAUCUUCGGAGACCUCACAACUGGUUACCUCCUCCAGUUACAGCCAUUAAGCUAAACUUUGAUGGUUGUUCUUUAGGAAACCUAGGCCCUUCAGGAGUAGGGGGAGUUUUCCGUGACCACAACAGAAACGUUCUUUGGACAUACUCAGAAUUUGUUGGACAUGGAGACUCACAAUUCGCUGAAGCCUUGACACUUCUUGUGGGCCUAAGACUCUUUAAUCCCUCAUGGGGUCAAUCCUUAGUGGUGGAAGGAGACGCCAAAAACAGUCUUUCAUGGGCAGCAGGCACCACCACCCCUCCCUGGUACCUUUCUUGAAUUUUUGAUGAAAUUUACCACCUUUGCAGGCAUACCAACGUUUGUUGGAGACAUACUUGACGGAUGUCGAACGAGUUCACCGAUCUUCUCACUAAAGAUGGCGCGUGACGGAGACCAAACUUGGACGACAAUGAAUGGUCCACCUCCUUUUUUGCACUGGACCUUCGAGAUCUCCAAGGACACUAGUUUGUUUGGUUGUACAUUUUUGUAAAAGGGCGAGCUUAUAAGCCCAAUUUUUUGUGUAUCCUCUCUUUUGGUAACAGCAGCUGCAAAAUGUUAUAGAUUGUAUAGGUUUUUUGGAUGUUUUUAGACUGAGAAACCUGUCUCGAAGGUUUUCUCGGUCCUCUCUUCCCUCCUUCUGAUGUAUACUUUUUUUAUAGUAAUACAAGGUUAACAUUAUAAAAAAAAAAACGUUGGAAAAUUUUGGUAGUUUACUUAUGAAUAUUAUUUUUAAUAGAUUUUUCACAUAAAACAGCGUAGAGGCUUGUGGACAAAUGAGGCAUGUGAUGAUUUUUUAUUUUUUUCUUAUCUAGAACUUGAGAAGAGCUUGAGGGAAUUUGGGAUCUGAUUUGGUAACAGAUGGAGAGCCUAUGCUUGGAUGGUUUCUGACCUUUGCAUAUCUAUAUCAUCUGUAGUCCACUCUACCUUGUACUUGGUCGAGUUACUUGCUCAGGCAAGAGCCGAGUCCAAGGCCCAAGCAAAGUGUUAUAACAUCGCUUAGUAUUAACCAUGAAUGUUUGUCAUACAUGAACCCAUUCUUUUCUUUAACAUUGGGAAAUUGUGGUAGUUUCCUCAUGGAAUAUUAUUUUUAAUAGAUUUUUCACAUAACACAACAUAAAAGCUUAUGGACAAAUGAGGCAUGUGAUGAACUUUUUUUUUUUUUUAACAAACUUGUUUAAACAUCUAUCUGUCCACCAUUAGGGACCAUUGUUUGGUGAAUCAUGCUCCAGAUCACCAUAAUCUUGUCCACCCUAUUGUGGUUCAUGAUCCUGAGGGGUGGACUACUGUUGUGUACCACUCAUCCAACAAUUAUGGGCUGCCCGAUCUACGGGGAUAGGAUUCUCCCUUCUGUACACCUCUCCUAGGAUCCCUCCCCAACCCUUGCCACGUACCGAGCUUCCUUUUCCUGUCCCCGGGCCCUGCCACCUGGCCUUGUUGCUGAUGCAGCCCACCCAUACCUUGGCUCCGCCUAAUACUAUAUUCAUGGGAAUUUUUUUAUACACCCAUUGUAUCCUGAUUUAGUGAUUCUUGCCACUUUAGAUACUUAGUUGCGUAUUACCACACCAGCCAUUUUGCAUUUCUUGAUGCUUGUUGAUGGUGAGUUGCCGUCCUUAAGGUCAUAUAUGGCUUCUACAAUUUUUUACCUCAGCAAUGAACCUUGAGUAUCGCGAAAGAAAAGAUGUACUAUUAGCUACAAAUACAUAUUGGGAUCCAUCAUGGAGAUUAUUAGUGUUCUCUUCCCAACAACUUAUCAAAUGCCACAUAAGCCUCCCUUGUUUACAUAAUGCAAUGAGAUGUACAAAGUAGAUGCAACUUCUGUAAACUUCGACUUUGAUUUAAUAUGGAUGGUUUAAAACAAGGACUGGGUUUAGUUAACAUGCCCAAGUCCAGAAACUUGGACUCUGCUAAGUCUGUUAGACUCAGCUGAGUCCAAAAAUUAAGAAUAAAAUAUUGGGGACCAGCAAGAGCAGCAAUAUAACUUAAAAGAUGCCAUAGUUAAGACUCCAUAUUACUAUUUUAUUAUUGUACUAAUAAUAAAUUAUU